GACAGAGGGUGCAAACGUUGUUCGGAAUUACUGGGCGUAAAGCGCGUGUAGGCGGCUUGGCAAGUCGGGUGUGAAAGCCCUGGGCUUAACCUAGGAAGUGCACACGAAACUGCCGAGCUUGAGUUCUGGAGAGGAAGGCGGAAUUCUCGGUGUAGAGGUGAAAUUCGUAGAUAUCGAGAGGAACACCGGUGGCGAAGGCGGCCUUCUGGACAGCGACUGACGCUGAGACGCGAAAGCGUGGGGAGCAAACAGG
Molecule: ribosomal RNA, 253 nt
Filed under: uncultured bacterium
Lineage: Bacteria
Description: partial 16S ribosomal RNA
Rfam family: Bacterial small subunit ribosomal RNA
Source: RNAcentral